This 836-nucleotide ribosomal RNA is filed under the name Haptophyta environmental samples. RNAcentral describes it as "bacterial SSU rRNA". It matches the Rfam family "Bacterial small subunit ribosomal RNA", at positions 481 to 1325 of the family's 1533-position model. The record is from RNAcentral. Lineage: Eukaryota; Haptophyta.
GAGGAAUAAGCAUCGGCUAACUCCGUGCCAGCAGCCGCGGUAAUACGGGGGAUGCAAGCGUUAUCCGGAAUCAUUGGGCGUAAAGCGCCUGUAGGUUGUUUAAUAAGUCUGUUGUUAAAGACUAGGGCUUAACCCUAGAAAAGCAAUGGAAACUACUAGACUAGAGUAUGGCAGGGGUAGAGGGAAUUUCUAGUGUAGCGGUGAAAUGCGUAGAUAUUAGAAAGAACACCGGUGGCGAAAGCGCUCUACUGGACCAUUACUGACACUCAGAGGCGAAAGCUAGGGUAGCAAAAGGGAUUAGAUACCCCUGUAGUCCUAGCCGUAAACGAUGGAUACUAGAUGUUGUGCAUAAUGUACAGUAUCGUAGCUAACGCGUUAAGUAUCCCGCCUGGGGAGUACGCUCGCAAGGGUGAAACUCAAAGGAAUUGACGGGGGCCCGCACAAGCGGUGGAGCAUGUGGUUUAAUUCGAUGCAACGCGAAGAACCUUACCAGGGCUUGACAUACUACAGAUUCUUUUGAGAAAAAGAAGUGCCUUCGGGAAUGUAGAUACAGGUGGUGCAUGGCUGUCGUCAGCUCGUGUCGUGAGAUGUUGGGUUAAGUCCCGCAACGAGCGCAACCCUUAUUUUUAGUUACUAAUUCGUUAGGUUCUCUAGAAAGACUGCCGGUGACAAACCGGAGGAAGGUGAGGAUGACGUCAAGUCAGCAUGCCCCUUAUGUCCUGGGCUACACACGUGCUACAAUGGUUAAGACAAAGAGUCGCGAGCUCGCGAGAGUCAGCUAAUCUCAUAAACUUAGCCUAAGUUCAGAUUGUAGGCUGCAACUCGCCUACAUGAAG